ACGAAGGGUGCAAGCGUUACUCGGAAUUACUGGGCGUAAAGCGUGCGUAGGUGGUUCGUUAAGUCUGAUGUGAAAGCCCUGGGCUCAACCUGGGAAUUGCAUUGGAUACUGGCGGGCUAGAGUGCGGUAGAGGGUAGUGGAAUUCCGGGUGUAGCGGUGGAAUGCGUAGAGAUCCGGAAGAACACCGGUGGCGAAGGCGGCCUGCUGGGUUCUGGCUGACACUGAGGCGCGACAGCGUGGGGAGCAAACAGGA
RNAcentral lists this ribosomal RNA (253 nucleotides) under uncultured prokaryote. RNAcentral's name for it is "partial 16S ribosomal RNA". It matches the Rfam family "Bacterial small subunit ribosomal RNA", at positions 525 to 777 of the family's 1533-position model. The record is from RNAcentral.